UUGUCGUCAGCUCGUGUCGUGAGAUGUUGGGUUAAGUCCCGCAACGAGCGCAACCCCUAUUGUUAGUUGCCAUCAUUCAGUUGGGCACUCUAGCGAGACUGCCGGUAAUAAACCGGAGGAAGUGGGAUGACGUCAAUCAUCAUGCCCCUUAUGACCUGGGCUACACACGUGCUACAAUGGUUGGUACAACGAGUUGCGAGUCGGUGACGGCGAGCUAAUCUCUUAAAGCCAAUCUCAGUUCGGAUUGUAGGCUGCAACUCGCCUACAUGAAGUCGGAAUCGCUAGUAAUCGCGGAUCAGCACGCCGCGGUCGAAUACGUUCCCGGGCCUU
RNAcentral lists this ribosomal RNA (330 nucleotides) under uncultured Streptococcus sp. RNAcentral describes it as "bacterial SSU rRNA". It matches the Rfam family "Bacterial small subunit ribosomal RNA", at positions 1049 to 1382 of the family's 1533-position model. Lineage: Bacteria; Bacillati; Bacillota; Bacilli; Lactobacillales; Streptococcaceae. The record is from RNAcentral.